This 330-nucleotide small RNA is filed under the name Drosophila pseudoobscura pseudoobscura. RNAcentral's name for it is "GA32938". The record is from RNAcentral. Lineage: Eukaryota; Metazoa; Arthropoda; Insecta; Diptera; Drosophilidae.
ACAUCUAUAUAAUGUAUGGUUAGUGGUACAGCUGACAGCGAAAUUCUAGAUUAAUCCCACAGACUUUCAACUAUUGAUCUUGUGAUUUGAGUCUAAUGGUAGCCAAACAGAGCUGGAUGAGUCAAUGAAAAUUUUUAUAUACGAUACUCAAAAUGAGUAUUGUGGAUUUGUGGUGAAAAUGGAUGUGUGGAACGUCCAGAAGUUUCAUGGUCGGUUUUGCCAAUUGCAAAAUGUGAGUUCAAGGAUCUCAGAGUUCAGAUGUAACAGAACGUCUGGGCAAGGAGAGCUGUUUCCCGCCACAUUCAAUUCAAAAUAACCACAUGCGGUAUA